AAGCCUGUUGCUAUUUCACCACCUGCUUUCAUAAUAAAAAAAAAUACACAAGACAUACCAAAGUUAGGUAAAUUGCACUGCCUGAUAUUUGGAAAUAAAUAAGAACUUGAGAAGUCAGUCCUUUGAAAUUAAAUGUGGCAUAUGCAACUAUUAGGAUUUUGAACCCUGAAAUGGCGCAUACCAUAAGCGCAGUGACCUUGGAACAUUCAUCAAAUGGCCAUUGUAGUCCUGUGCAUCUACUACACAUGCUUCCCAAUACACGAGCAUACACAAAGAUCCCAAAGAAAAGGAAAUUUUAAUUCAAUUUAUGAUAAUUCCAAUAAGCAAUUCCAUUGAUCAAUAACACUAUGCAAUACGCCUGUCUAUAAGGUGAAAAGGGGAGAGGGGAGGGAAGGAGAAAUUAUUCAACUUAUUGUGUUUGGCAAGUUAAAAAUUAUUUAGUGAAGCCCUGUGGAAAUUUUGAAUUGUGUUUGGAUGAUAGAGAGGAGAGGAGAACUUUAAUUGUAGAAGACCAUAAACUCAUUAAUGAGAAAGGAUUCGUAUUAUAAUUGCCACUAAAAAAUGAGGUUAAAAAUGACAAGACAAUAGAAAAAGUCUCUCUCUAGGAGCUGAAAAUUUUUUACACCCUGAUUUUGGAUGUAAUCAAUUUCAACUUAUGAAGGGGAAUGAAGGAGAAUGACUACAUUCCUUUCUCCUCCACCACACCCACCCCCCCACCCCCCUCCCUUAAAAAAUUUAAAGGCCCAACAAGGGGAGAGGAGAAACCCCUUCCCCCUCAUUUUAGCCUUUGCCAUGCAUAGCUUUAGCAUUCUAAUGUCCAAACAAGAUUCCACACCAUGAUUCCCAUGAUCAACUAAGACUAAUUAAUUACAGAACUAUGAAGCAGACCAAGAAUUUCACCUCUUCGGGACUGAAUUGCAG
Molecule: unclassified non-coding RNA, 921 nt
Filed under: Hevea brasiliensis (rubber tree)
Lineage: Eukaryota; Viridiplantae; Streptophyta; Magnoliopsida; Malpighiales; Euphorbiaceae
Source: RNAcentral